AGCCAAUGAUGUGUUGAAGAGUAGUGGACAGAACAGGUUUCUGAAAACUUUGCACUGAGGCU
Molecule: small nucleolar RNA, 62 nt
Filed under: Salvator merianae (Argentine black and white tegu)
Lineage: Eukaryota; Metazoa; Chordata; Lepidosauria; Squamata; Teiidae
Description: Small nucleolar RNA SNORD75 (ENSSMRG00000010808.1)
Rfam family: Small nucleolar RNA SNORD75
About the family: U75 (SNORD75) belongs to the C/D class of snoRNAs which contain the C (UGAUGA) and D (CUGA) box motifs. Most of the members of the box C/D family function in directing site-specific 2'-O-methylation of substrate RNAs.
Source: Rfam by way of RNAcentral